This 345-nucleotide unclassified non-coding RNA is filed under the name soil metagenome. RNAcentral's name for it is "partial contains 5.8S ribosomal RNA, internal transcribed spacer 2, and large subunit ribosomal RNA". The stretch from base 1 to 120 matches the Rfam family "5.8S ribosomal RNA", at positions 35 to 154 of the family's 154-position model. The record is from RNAcentral.
GAUGAAGAACGCAGCGAAAUGCGAUACGUAAUGUGAAUUGCAGAAUUCAGUGAAUCAUCGAGUCUUUGAACGCACAUUGCGCCCCCUGGUAUUCCGGGGGGCAUGCCUGUCCGAGCGUCAUUGCUGCCCUCAAGCACGGCUUGUGUGUUGGGCCUCCGUCCUCCUCCCGGGGGACGGGCCCGAAAGGCAGCGGCGGCACCGCGUCCGGUCAUCGAGCGUAUGGGGCUUCGUCACCCGCUCUUGUAGGCCCGGCCGGCGCUUGCCGACACAUCAAUCUUUUUUCCAGGUUGACCUCGGAUCAGGUAGGGAUACCCGCUGAACUUAAGCAUAUCAAUAAGCGGAGGA